This 492-nucleotide ribosomal RNA is filed under the name uncultured bacterium. RNAcentral describes it as "partial 16S ribosomal RNA". It matches the Rfam family "Bacterial small subunit ribosomal RNA", at positions 29 to 507 of the family's 1533-position model. The record is from RNAcentral.
AGUGAACGCUGGCGGUAGGCCUAACACAUGCAAGUCGAACGGCAGCACAGUAAGAGCUUGCUCUUACGGGUGGCGAGUGGCGGACGGGUGAGGAAUACAUCGGAAUCUACUUUUUCGUGGGGGAUAACGUAGGGAAACUUACGCUAAUACCGCAUACGACCUACGGGUGAAAGCAGGGGAUCUUCGGACCUUGCGCGAUUGAAUGAGCCGAUGUCGGAUUAGCUAGUUGGCGGGGUAAAGGCCCACCAAGGCGGCGAUCCGUAGCUGGACUGAGAGGAUGGUCGGCGACACUGGAACUGAGACACGGACCAGACUCCUACGGGAGGCAGCAGUGGGGAAUGUUGGACAAUGGGCGCAAACCUGAUCCAGCCAUACCGCGUGGGUGGAGAAGGCCUUCGGGUUGUAAAGCCCUUUUGUUGGGAAAGAAAAGCAGCAGGUUAAUACCCCGCUGUUCUGACGGUACCCAAAGAAUAAGCACCGGCUAACUUCGUG